GUGAGGAAUAUUGGUCAAUGGGCGGAAGCCUGAACCAGCCAUCCCGCGUGGAGGAAGACGGCCCUAUGGGUUGUAAACUUCUUUUCAAGGGGAAGAAAGUUCGCGACGUGUCGCGAUUUGCCGGUACCUUUGGAAUAAGCAUCGGCUAACUCCGUGCCAGCAGCCGCGGUAAUACGGAGGAUGCGAGCGUUAUCCGGAUUUAUUGGGUUUAAAGGGUGCGUAGGCCGAUCGAUAAGUCAGCGGUGAAAUACCAUGGCCCAACCAUGGAACUGCCGUUGAUACUGUCGGUCUUGAAUAUGGUCAAGGUAGGCGGAAUGUGUAAUGUAGCGGUGAAAUGCUUAGAUAUUACACAGAACACCGAUUGCGAAGGCAGCUUACUGGUCCAUUAUUGACGCUGAGGCACGAAAGCGUGGGGAUCGAACAGGAUUAGAAACCCGGGUAGUCC
This 445-nucleotide ribosomal RNA is filed under the name uncultured bacterium. Its description in RNAcentral is "partial 16S ribosomal RNA". It matches the Rfam family "Bacterial small subunit ribosomal RNA", at positions 354 to 796 of the family's 1533-position model. The record is from RNAcentral.